GAAUUUUCAUUAAUCAAUUCUGGCAGAAACUGAGGAACGCGAAAGUAGAAACCUUAGACAAUUGUCAUGUGUGUAUCUCUCUAGAAAUGGAUAGAAAGGUAGAUACAGCGACCACAUCGUGAUGUACAGAACCUUCUCUUCUCCUGCUUUUCAAACGCAAAAAAAAACACACAUAUACGCACGUUCCUUUUCAGGUAAAACAUCUCGCCCCACGCGGGGAGAGAUCUUUCCAAGAAUUCACCUUAAUUUUGGCUUCAGGUUUAUUAUAACUUAUCGUAUAAUCUAUUUUUUAAGAACUAUGUCCUUUUUCCGUUAAUUUCGCUUUCUCAUUGUUUUGAACUCAAAUUUCUUUUGCCCUCUUUCUUACGGACCUUCCAAGUCCACCCCUUUUCGUUCUGCCCAAAAACCCACAAAUAAAUUAUAUAAUUAUAGAAGAUUUUUUUUUCUGGACGUUGUUUCUAUUUACUCGUCCAAGAAUUCAGUAAGUUGUUCAUCGUUUAAUUGAAUGUUGUGGUGAUGGAUCUGAGAAGGCGUAUAUUUUUACUUUUGCUAUUGUUCUCGGUUCAAUUGAUUUGCUUGGUGAAGGGGAAUAUUGUAUUUAAAGUUCAACAUAAAUUCGGAGGGCGUGGGGCGGGGCGAUCAGCACUUACUUCAUUUCGGGCGCAUGAUUCGUUCCGGCACGGCAGAAUGCUGGGAGCGGUUGAUUUGCCUUUGGGCGGCAACGGCCAGCCCACCGACGCUGCGCUCUAUUACACAAAACUUUCAAUUGGAAAUCCUUCCAACGACUAUCAUGUCCAGGUCGAUACGGGAAGUGACAUUCUGUGGGUGAAUUGUGUUGGCUGUGAUAAGUGUCCUACGAAAAGCGACCUUAAAAUAGCUUUGAAGCAGUAUGACUUGAAGGCCUCCUCAACUGGAAAGGCAGUUACUUGUGAUCAAGAUUUUUGCUCCGCUAUGUUUAAUGGUCAAGAUCCAGAUUGCAAGGUGGGAGCUUUCUGUGACUAUGCUGUUACUUAUGGAGAUGGGAGCAGAACAGAGGGAUAUUUUGUUAGAGAUGACAUCAAACUUGAUGAAGUGACUGGAAACCUGCAGACCUCAUCCAUGAAUGGGUCCAUAGCAUUUGGGUGCUCAUCUAAACAAUCUGGAGAGUUAGGUUCAUCUUCUGAAGCAGUUGACGGGAUUCUUGGUUUUGGACAAGCAAAUACAUCCGUGCUUUCGCAGCUUGCUUCGUCUGGGAAAGUGAAGAAAAUAUUUUCACAUUGCCUGGAUGGUGUCAAAGGAGGUGGCAUAUUUGCAAUUGGACAAGUGGUCCAGCCAAAAGUAAAAUCAACACCUUUGGUCCCUAAUGAGGCACAUUAUAAUGUUGUUCUGAAGUCAGUUGAGGUGGGUGGUGGUUCUCUAGACCUUCCAACAGAUUUGUCUGGCCCUGGUUCUCAGAGAGGGACAAUAAUUGAUAGUGGUACAACCUUGGCCUAUCUUCCAGAUGAGAUCUAUGAACGGCUUAUGGAAAAGGUGAUGGAACGGCAACCUAAUCUAAAAACUCAAAUAGUUGAGCAGCAGUUCAAGUGCUUUGAUUACAGUGGGAAUGUCGAUAAUGGAUUUCCAGUUGUCUCUUUUCAUUUUGAGGACUCACUUUCUUUGACGGUUUAUCCCCAUGAAUAUCUAUUCAAAAUUAGUGAUGAGGAGUGGUGUAUCGGUUGGCAGAGCAGUGGAAUGCAGACAAAGGAUGGAAAGGAAAUAACCUUGUUGGGAGAUAUUGUCUUAUCAAACAAGCUCGUUGUGUAUGAUCUCGAAAAUCAGACCAUUGGAUGGACAGAACAUAACUUGCUGUGAGGUUGCCUUGUGAAGUCCAGAGUUCUCCUUUGAACUAUAUAGACGAGAAUAAGCUUUAAAAAAGGCUCUUCGAGCAUCAAAGUUAGGGAUGAAAAGUCAGGAAACAGUUAUACAGUGGGCGCCCAUGAUAUUUCUUCUUCUAGCAUUCUGAGUAGAGGAAAUAUUAUAUCCUUCGUUUUGUUAAUAGCCUUCCUGCUGAAUUUGAUCGAUUGAGCCGUCGCAGCUAGUUUUUUUUCGAUAAUGUUUAUCACAAUUUGUUGGAUGCUGAUGGAUUUGUUAUUUGAUUCUUUGAGUUCAUAGUUAAAAAUAGUUAUUGGAAUUAUGAGAAUUCCUAUGAUUCUUUGAUUCCACCGUCUUGUUUUGUGUACUUGUCGACAAGAAAAUAUAGCAGAUACUAAAUCAGAUGAACUGAAGAAUUGUAUACAAUGUGACAAGGUAGUUCUUGAUUUUUUAUUUUUUUCCUUUCAUUGUAAUUAUCAAUUUACUUAAUUAUUGGCUUCGGUUUCUUGUUC
Molecule: RNA transcript, 2342 nt
Organism: Olea europaea var. sylvestris
Lineage: Eukaryota; Viridiplantae; Streptophyta; Magnoliopsida; Lamiales; Oleaceae
Gene name: aspartic proteinase-like protein 2
Exons: 11
Source: RefSeq, a predicted model, not a curated record